This 484-nucleotide ribosomal RNA is filed under the name uncultured bacterium. RNAcentral describes it as "partial 16S ribosomal RNA". It matches the Rfam family "Bacterial small subunit ribosomal RNA", at positions 29 to 507 of the family's 1533-position model. The record is from RNAcentral.
AUUGAACGCUGGCGGCAUGCUUUACACAUGCAAGUCGAACGGCAGCGCGGGCUUCGGCCUGGCGGCGAGUGGCGAACGGGUGAGUAAUACAUCGGAACGUGCCCAGUAGUGGGGGAUAGCUCGGCGAAAGCCGGAUUAAUACCGCAUACGACCUGAGGGUGAAAGCGGGGGAUCUUCGGACCUCGCGCUAUUGGAGCGGCCGAUGGCAGAUUAGCUAGUUGGUGGGGUAAAGGCCUACCAAGGCGACGAUCUGUAGCUGGUCUGAGAGGACGACCAGCCACACUGUGACUGAGACACGGCCCAGACUCCUCCGGGAGGCAGCAGUGGGGAAUUUUGGACAAUGGGCGAAAGCCUGAUCCAGCAAUGCCGCGUGUGUGAUGAAGGCCUUCGGGUUGUAAAGCACUUUUGGCGGGAACGAAAAGGACUGUGCCAAUACCACGGUUCGAUGACGGUACCCGCAGAAUAAGCACCGGCUAACUACGUG